UAUGGACAGAAGUUUCUUCGAGAGGAGGGAUGGACCGUAUGGUAUCGUGGAUCCUGGUAAAAGUAGCAGAAAAGAAUCGUGAGAAUCGAUUCCGCCGAAAGGGCAAGGGUUCCUUGGCAAUGUUCGUCAGCCGAGGGUUAGUCGAUCCUAAGGUCACCCCUAAAAGGAAGUGACCGAAUGGGAAACUGGUUAAUAUUCCAGUACCAUAGACGUUUUGCUGCAUUUGUUUGUCUCAGGAUAUGGGGAGUAAGGGUGCCAAUUUAUUGGCCUCCAUAAGUGGAUGGAAAGUUGUAAUGACACGAAGUUCGCGAAGGGUUGUCAGCUCCCGUACGGGAGUUUCCUAAAUUCCCGGGACCCAUGAAAGACUUAUGCAGGUCAGGUCUAUGCUCGUACCAAGAACCGACACAGGUGCCCCUGGAUGAGAAGUCCAAGGCGUUUGAGAAUAAUGGACGCGAGGGAACUCGGCCAAAUAGCUCCGUAUCUUCGGUAGAAGGAGUGCCUGUUCCGAGAGGGAACAGGUCGCAGUGGCAAGGGGACCCCGACUGUUUACCAAAAACACAGGCCGCUGCAAGUCCGAAAGGAUGUGUAUAGCGGUCGAAACCUGCCCAGUGUCGGUACCUGAAAGUCCUUUUCAAGGGAACGUAGGGCCGAUAAACGGCGGGGGUAACUAUGACCCUCUUAAGGUAGCGUAAUACCUAGCCGCUUAAUUGGCGGCUUGCAUGAAGGUUCAACGAGAGUCCCACUGUCCCCGCGUUCAGCCUCGUGAAAUUGAUGCACUGGUGCACAAUCCAGUCUGUCCCACAUGAAAGCGAAGUCCCCGUGGAGCUUUACUGCAGCCUGUAGCUGUAAUACGGUUUUCGAUGCGUAGUGUAGGAAGGAGCCGUCGAUGCCAGAAUUUUGGUUCUGGUGGAGGCAACAAUGAAACACUUCCCUUCGUUAACUGCGUUACUAACUUGAUGAAAGGACACCUAUUGGUGGGCAGUUUGGGUGGGGCGCCACGCCCCUGAGAAUCAAAAGGGGGCCCCCAAUGGUUGGCUCAGGAGGGUCAGAAAUCCUCCGUAGAGUGCAAGAGCAAAAGCCAGCUUGACUGUGUUGCCCAAUAAACAACGCAGAUGCGAAAGCAGGGUCUAGCGAACCACCCUGUCCUCUUUUGUGAGGGCGGGUGAUAAGAGAGAAGUUACCCCAGGGAUAACUGAGUUGUCCUCGGCAAGAGUUCACAUCGACCCGAGGGUUUGCUACUUCGAUGUCGUCUGUUCCUAUCCUGGUGCUGAACAAGGUGCCAAGGGUGGGGCUGUUCGCCCAUUAAAAGGAAUCCUGAGAUGGGUUCACUACGUCGCGAGACAGUAGGGUUGCUUCUCCGUGGGAGUGCACGAUGUCUGAGGGGAAGGAGCCUUUAGUACGAGAGGAACGGGGGUUCGUGGCUUCUGGUUUACCGGUUGUCUGGCAAGGCAAACGCCGGGUAGCCACGCCAUACGCGGAUAAAAGCUGAAAGCAUCUAAGCUUGAAGCCGCCCCUAAAAAUAGACAUCGUUUUCAGGUCUCUCCUAAAAGAGGAGAUUGAUAGAGCCGGGAUGUAAGUGCCAAGCUUCGGCGAGGCAUUCAGUCCACGGCCACUAAUAGACCGAAUGCACAAUC
This 1634-nucleotide ribosomal RNA is filed under the name mine drainage metagenome. RNAcentral describes it as "bacterial LSU rRNA". It matches the Rfam family "Archaeal large subunit ribosomal RNA", at positions 1331 to 2987 of the family's 2987-position model. The record is from RNAcentral.